Molecule: ribosomal RNA, 83 nt
Filed under: Ailuropoda melanoleuca (giant panda)
Lineage: Eukaryota; Metazoa; Chordata; Mammalia; Carnivora; Ursidae
Description: similar to 5.8S ribosomal RNA
Rfam family: 5.8S ribosomal RNA
About the family: 5.8S ribosomal RNA (5.8S rRNA) is a component of the large subunit of the eukaryotic ribosome. It is transcribed by RNA polymerase I as part of the 45S precursor that also contains 18S and 28S rRNA.
Source: RNAcentral
GAUGAAGAACACAGCUAGCUGUGAGAAUUAAUGUGAAUUACAGGACACACUGAUCAUCAACACUUCAAACACACUUGCAGCCC